GAUUUCCCAUUUCUUUAAGAAAGUAAGAUCCCUGAGAGAUGAUCAGGUAGAUAGGUCAGGAGUGGAAGUACAGUGAUGUAUGGAGCGGACUGAUACUAAUCGAUCGAGGACUUAACCAAU
This 120-nucleotide ribosomal RNA is filed under the name Enterococcus faecium. RNAcentral describes it as "partial 23S ribosomal RNA". It matches the Rfam family "Bacterial large subunit ribosomal RNA", at positions 2808 to 2925 of the family's 2925-position model. Lineage: Bacteria; Bacillati; Bacillota; Bacilli; Lactobacillales; Enterococcaceae. The record is from RNAcentral.